AAAUGUGUGACAUUUCUGGCAUUGGUUUAUUGAUUUUGGAUGGUUCUGGCUCCUUUCAGAGGUGACUUCCUGGGUAUCCAUGUCUGGAAACGGUAAUUUGCUAUUCCCUCGUCACCACGGUGAGGGUUGAUGCAUUGACCUACUUGAGAUCAAAAAGAAGGUCUUUCUGUGCACAGUCCAUGCUGGACUUGCUUCAAUGAUGCUGGAUGCACAGCUUUCCUGGUCUUCCCACUGGCCAGCAUCAGAGGAGGUGAGCAUCCAGACUACCAGCUGCACAGAGCAGAGCACAAAGAAGCAUGAAGCAUGAAGCAGCAAAUGCAUGGAGAGGGGGCUGAUUGUUUUGUCAGGAGGCUAGGAGAUCCAAACCAGAAGAUACGACUCCAGUGAUGUCUCCGAGUCUCACCAUGUGGUGAGAGCACAUUGUAUCAAUCCCUUUGGAGAGAAAGGGACAGGAAGACAAGAAAUGGAGGGUCAUUUUUGGGCAAGAGGGUUCUAGUGCAUUUGUCUUUUAAGGUGACCUUGGACGGAUUUUGUGCCUGCACAGUGGGACUUGAUUGGAAGCUGCCAGCGGGAAGGGUGCUCCCUCAGAGGAUGAUGAGAAGGGAAUAUGCUGGGUACACUAUGUGGUCCAUCAUGAGAGUUCAUUACAGACUUGCCCCCAUCACCACCAACAACAACCAGCAAAGAGAAUAAUUUCAAGUUUGGUUUGAGAACAUUUAAGAAAGGGAAGCAUGAGUUUAUAAAAAAAAUAAAUAAAUAAACUAUAAAACA
RNAcentral lists this long non-coding RNA (771 nucleotides) under Vulpes vulpes (red fox). Its description in RNAcentral is "lncRNA (ENSVVUG00000020779.1)". The record is from RNAcentral. Lineage: Eukaryota; Metazoa; Chordata; Mammalia; Carnivora; Canidae.